Bombus terrestris (buff-tailed bumblebee) is the source of this 1421-nucleotide long non-coding RNA. RefSeq lists it as uncharacterized. The transcript has 3 exons. NCBI's taxonomy places the organism in Eukaryota, Metazoa, Arthropoda, Insecta, Hymenoptera, Apidae. The record is from RefSeq and is a predicted model, not a curated record.
CUUAUAGCGAAUUAGUAUCGAGCGAACGUACUCGCUACCGUGUAUACUUAUAUCCAGCAAAACUGAGCAAACGACGACUAACUCUGCAUCGCAGAUAAUUUCAAAUACAUUUGACUACACUAAAUAUCAACUCGUCUCACCACUAUAUACACCAAUAUGUUUAAUCAUCCUCCAUACUUCCAUUUAUAUUAGAAGUUAUAUUAGAAGAAGCUAGUACGAACAGUACUGUUUGAAAAAUAAUUUUGAAAAAAUUGUGCAUGGUUCAACAUAGUAUUCGUAUAAUUCGUAUAAUACACGGACUCCCACUGUACUUCAAUCCAAGAGACGAAUAAUAAAUUAAUAAUAUAAAUUAGUAUGGGAGAAUAAGAAAAGACAAAAUGCUAUAAAUUACACGAAACUGAGGACGAUAAUAUAAACGAUUAUAGAAGUUUCUGCCUAAUGUUUGGGAAACAGACAUAUCUUUUACUAAGCAAUGUAACAUCAUAGUGUGAAUAGGAAUUUGGAAAAAGGAAUAGAAAAGUGAAGAGGAGAGACGGCCAUGGACGUGUCGAACUACUCCACCUUGUUUGCGAGAAAGGGGGAAAGCGAGAGCCAUUCGUUGGAGACUCGGGCGACGAAGAAAGCAUUGAAGAGGAAGAGGGAACAUAUGGGGUGAGAAGACGGUUUGAAAAGGCGUGGAGAGGUGUUGUAAGAUAGAGAAGGCGGCAGGAAACAGAGCGAGAAAGUAAAGAAGGGCUAAGAGAGGGUCAAACGAAAAAGAGACAGAAAGAAAGCGGUGCAACGAAGAAACUCGACAGGGGUAUAGGCUUAUUGAUUCCAGAGGGUUCGUGUUUCUCUCUUUCUCGUCAUUCCUUAAUGCUGUCUACGUUUGUCUUUGUUUCAUUUCUCUUUCCGCUUCACUUUCCAUUCGUACCUCCAGCCUCCGAAUGUAAACGUGUGCGUAUGUUUAUGCGCGUUCAAGAAACACGUGUCAGAGGUUACGCAAACAGAAUGAUUGAUACAUUAGCCGGCCGGCUGCCCUCUCGCCUUAUCUUUUAUUCCGUUCGGUGAAUUGAUUUCCUAUGGCACGGAGGGGAGGCUAAGAACGGCCGCACGGGGAUGGCUGGCGCGUGUAAUGAAUCGAGGAUUCUUUCAUUCUCCUUUAUGAUGAUCGAACCCGUGCGGAACGCUCUAACGUGCGAUUCGAUGCGAAUCUAUCCCAUCGAUAAUUAACUGCUGUUGCUCCUGUCACGAGUGGGAGUACAAGCGAUUUAAUCAAAGCUUAACACAUGAAACCCUCGAUCGAGAGUAUAAAAUAUACACGAAGAAUUAGGUAAAUAAUGAAUAGGGUAUUACCUUUCGAAAUCUUAGAUUAUACAGAACACAUACGUUUAAUAUUACAAUGAUAAUCUGAUUAAUUAUGUAGAUUAAAUUUAAUUAAA